GAAGGAACUUUCAUGAUCUGUGAUCAAGCAGCCAGAUGAUACGAUAACAAAAUGUUGAGGAUUAGAUUACGGAGAGAGCAGAAGCUCCUCAAUCUCAUUGCGGGUAACCCAACAAGAAGAUGUCUGAGCACCAAGAACCUUAGAAAUUAUAGUGGGGGUACAAAAGUUAUGAGCUUUGGUGAUGGCAGCCAUGGAGCUCUGGGACUAGCCACCUCUCUUACUGGCCUUGGAACCGACGCCUACGAGCCCACUUGCGUCCCUGGCCUUCCCUCUGACAUUCUUGGAGUCAGCGCCGGCCACUACCACUCCCUUGCCGUUACUUCUCAAGGUGAGCUCUGGGCCUGGGGCCGCAACCACGAAGCCCAGCUCGGCCGCGGCCUUCUUGCCUCCAGGUUAACUGAGACUAUCCUCUCCAUUCUCUAGUUCUUUAUUGUGUGAGUGAAUGCCUAAAAGGUGGCUUUUACUAUUCUAUACCAAUUUAUACUUGUGUGCCUGCCAGUUGUUUGUUUUUAUGUCGCUAUGGUUCCUAAAUGAUGUUAAAUCUAACAUUGUUAAUGCUUAAUAUCGCUUAAUGUGUAAGUAAUUAUGAAUUCAACUAAGGAAACGGAUAAAUCAAUAUUUCUGAAUGAAACUUGUGCCCUGUAACUGCGUUGCGGAUGAUUGAUAAUUUCCAAGGAGGUGCUUUGUUCUGGCUUUUAAUGGAAGGAUUUCAUUUAUGGUGGACUUAGAUAAUAGAGACAGAUUUCUCAACAACGGAUGCACGCGCCUGGUGUAAAUUCUUCUUCAGUUUUGAUUCUUAAAUUUGUACACUAAGAAGAGUAAAUUGCUGACUACAAAAUAUUGGUUUUAGCAGAGAUACAUGGAAUGAACCAAAGAGGGUAGAAGGGUUGAAUCAAGUCCAAGUCCUCUCCGCAUCUGCAUCUGGCGUUGUCUCUGCAGCCAUUGGAGAUGAUGGCUCUUUGUGGGUUUGGGGAAAGUCUAAGCGGGGUCAGCUUGGUCUGGGGAAGGGAAUCACAGAGGCCUUGGUACCUGCCAGAGUUGAAGCACUUGCAAGAGAAAAGAUAGCUAAGGUAGACAUUUAAAAAAGGUAGACAUCUUUUUGGCAACACAAGCUUCAUACUGAUGUAGAUGUAGCAAGCUUGAAGUCUUUUCAAAUUGUUUGAUGGGAACUUCGUUAAGUGCAUUUUUGGUCAGCAGGUAUCAUUGGGUUGGGGGCAUACCCUUGCGUUGACUGACAAGGGAAAGUUAUUUGGCUGGGGUUAUUCAGCUGAUGGUAGGUUAGGAAAGAUCACCAGAGCUGUAGAGGCGUCUCUACUGGAUUCGAGUGCAGAUAUGGUUAAACCUAACCAACAACUUCCAAAAUCAAUCUUAGAAGCUGCAGAAAGGCAUGUUUUAGAAGGAAUGGAGAAGGAGAAGGACAUGCCAAUAGUCUGGGAUCCUUGUUUAGUGGAAGAAUUACACGGCACUGAAGUUGUAGACAUUGCCAGUGGGCUUGAUCAUUCCUUGGUUCUUUGCCGUAAGUAAUGCUGCAUGUUAUAUUGUCUAAUAGGUUCAAAGUUGAUUAAUGCUACAAAAAUUUAAAAUCACCAACAUAACAUGCAAAUUGUGUGUUGCUUGUUUAUCUUACUGUCGUAUUCCAGGUGAUGGCACUUUAUUGAGCUCUGGAAGCAAUAUAUAUGGCCAGUUGGGCAGAGCAAAUCAUGAAAUAGGAUUGUUUCCAGUUGAUAUGAACUUCCAUCUGUUGUCUAUAGCAUCAGGUCUUGGCCACUCUUUGGCAAUUUGUGGAGUUGCAUCAUCCGAAGUAGAUGCCACUAGCAUUGUUUCAUGGGGAUGGAAUCAUAACUCCCAGCUUGGAAGGUUGGGACCAGAGAACAUCCCAUUGGAGGUUGAGGGAUUGGCAGGGGAGUGUGUUGUUUGGGUGUCAGGAGGGCGAGUACAUUCCAUUGCUCUCACAUCCAAACAGGAGGUAUGGGUUUGGGGCUGUGGUAAGAAUGGCAGACUUGGGCUGGGGAGUUCUGCUGAUGAAGCUGAACCGAUCUUGCUCGACAGUUUAGAAGGUUAUGAAGUUUUACAAGCUGUUUCAGGCUUCGAUCAUAAUCUAGUCUUGAUUACUCAAUGAUGCAUGUUGAACGCUACAGAAUAAUAUGAUUCCUGCAGUUUUGCUUUUUCCAAAUCUCUUUUACUGAUUUCUUGGAUUUUUAGAUGCAAUAUACAAGCUUUAGUCGACUUUAAUGUGGAUGCUGGAGGGCGUCUCUCGCAGCAUAUCCAUCUGCAUGUCAUGAUUUGUAUUUGGG
Molecule: unclassified non-coding RNA, 2294 nt
Filed under: Hevea brasiliensis (rubber tree)
Lineage: Eukaryota; Viridiplantae; Streptophyta; Magnoliopsida; Malpighiales; Euphorbiaceae
Source: RNAcentral